Molecule: ribosomal RNA, 216 nt
Filed under: Glomeromycotina sp.
Lineage: Eukaryota; Fungi; Glomeromycota
Description: partial small subunit ribosomal RNA
Rfam family: Eukaryotic small subunit ribosomal RNA (bases 40-216)
Source: RNAcentral
GGGUCAGUAGGUUGGUCGUGCCACCGGUACGUACUGGUCUCACUGAUUCCUCCUUCCUGAAGAACCGUAAUGCCAUUUAUUUGGUGUUGCGGGGAAACAGGACUGUUACUUUGAAAAAAUUAGAGUGUUUAAAGCAAGCUAACGCUUGAAUACAUUAGCAUGGAAUAUUGAAAUAGGACGAUCGAUCCUAUUUUGUUGGUUUCUAGGAUUGACGUA